This 440-nucleotide ribosomal RNA is filed under the name uncultured bacterium. RNAcentral describes it as "partial 16S ribosomal RNA". It matches the Rfam family "Bacterial small subunit ribosomal RNA", at positions 338 to 795 of the family's 1533-position model. The record is from RNAcentral.
CCUACGGGAGGCUGCAGUGGGGAAUAUUGCACAAUGGGGGGAACCCUGAUGCAGCGACGCCGCGUGAGUGAAGAAGUAUUUCGGUAUGUAAAGCUCUAUCAGCAGGGAAGAAAAUGACGGUACCUGACUAAGAAGCCCCGGCUAACUACGUGCCAGCAGCCGCGGUAAUACGUAGGGGGCAAGCGUUAUCCGGAUUUACUGGGUGUAAAGGGAGCGCAGACGGCUGUGCAAGUCUGGAGUGAAAGGCGGGGGCCCAACCCCCGGACUGCUCUGGAAACUGUAAAGCUGGAGUGCAGGAGAGGUAAGCGGAAUUCCUAGUGUAGCGGUGAAAUGCGUAGAUAUCAGGAGGAACACCGGCGGCGAAGGCGGCCUGCUGGACCGCGACUGACGUUGAGGCUCGAAAGCGUGGGGAGCGAACAGGAUUAGAUACCCUUGUAGUC